RNA transcript from Magnolia sinica, 2961 nucleotides. RefSeq lists it as uncharacterized. The record is from RefSeq and is a predicted model, not a curated record. NCBI's taxonomy places the organism in Eukaryota, Viridiplantae, Streptophyta, Magnoliopsida, Magnoliales, Magnoliaceae. The transcript is spliced from 8 exons.
AUGAUAUCUUUUUUUAGAUCUCUGAUAAAAUGCUCUAUACCCUAUCCAUUGUCUACCUACAGGGAUGCUAACACUGUUAAUGAUGUUAUGGAAUUUGUACUUCAAAACUUCACAGAGAUGAAUAAACUUUGGGUCUGAAUGCAUCAUCAGGUUAGUUGAAAUUUUAGAGAACUAUCGCUAGUGUUUGGGCACAAACAGUAAGUGCAUGCCAUAAAUUAAAAAUUGGAGCAUGGGGCUUUGUGAAGGGAAGAUGCAGUGCAGGUUGAAUUUCAAGCUAUUCUACAUGUUUGACAAAAUUCCUCAACCAAACUCUGUUUCUCACUAAUGAAUCGUAUCAGCUCCAAGUUGAUUUCCCCAAGCAUUACCUCAUGGAAGCACCUCAAGCCAUCUAACUGGAGGAAAAAGCGAAUCCAUUUUCACGACUUCAUGUUGGGUGUCCAUAGUCGCCUUUAAGGUCCGUGUACACUGGAGUAGACUUCUAUAAGAAGUUGUGUGGAGUAUCCAUUAUUCAAAGUUGGUGCCAACUAUCACAGAGUUCGUGAUAGUAGAACUUCUUUACUUGCAAUGGAUGGAUCCAAACCAGCCAAUUUAUCUUUACAUCAAUUCAAUUGGAACGACUUGUGAUGAUGGUGAAACGAUAUGUUGAUGCAUCAAAAGUGAGGAGUAAGAUGCUAAGGCAAUUGUGGUGGAUUAGUUUACUGGAAAUUUGGCUAAUUUGUAGUUGUAGUUUCUCUUUUCUUUGGUUUUUCUUUUCCUUUAAUUCUUUUGACUUUUGGCCUUUUAUGCAAUAAAAUCUUCUAAGUUAUAAAAAGAAAAAGAAAAAAAAUCAUCUUGUUGACCUGCUAGUAAACAAGGGGCUUGCUAUUCCCAUAUGCACGCUCUCCACAUGCAAAUGCAGCAGAGUGCCAAGAUGGCUGGUCCACUCAUCAGGCAGCCACCCUUAUAUGAAAGCAAUGGAUGGUUUAAGAUAACUUGCCAACAUUGUUAAAAAAGAAGAAGAAGAAAAAGAAAAAAGAAAGAUUACUUACUAACAGUCAAUAGUCAACAUAGACAAAUCUAUAAGUCCUUUAGAGAAAAUCCUUUCCUUAAAAUGCUUCCUAUGACGGUGGAUUGUUUAAGAUUAACUUGCCAAUAGUCCACUGUCAACAUAGACAUCUAUGUAAGCCCUCUGGCAAAAAUCGCUUUCCUAUUAUCUCUUCAUGCUUCCUAUGAUGGAUGCUUCCUAUAGCCAUCUAUUUCAUCUUUAAUUGCAUUGUAUUUUAGUUGAUAUGAUUCUUUUUCACAUGUGCUUACAAGCUCUGCUUCAGAAUUUUUCUCUAUAAUUUUUUGUGAAACCUUUUAUCUAUGCUGCAAGUCAUUCAUUUGUUGCACCAACCUUUUGUGUACUUCAUUCUUCUUAAGAACUUCUAUUUUUUUUUCUGGAAUAAUGGCAGGGUUUUGAUAUGAAACUAAUCAAUGUAAAUUGGACUUGCAAAGUUACAAAGGGAGGACAAGUGGUCAAGUACACUGUCAUGUUAGCUUGUGACAACUAUCAUGGAGUUGUGGGCUUUACAAAAGGAAAAGGCCUAGCAAUUCCCAUUGCCCUCCAGAAGGUAUUCAUGAACUUACUUCUUCAAAUGGUCUGAAUCCCCUCGUUGUUGAUGAUCGUGCUUUGGUAGCAGAUGCACUGCCUCUUGAGGGAGGAGGAUGUUGCAACAAUGUUACGACUUGCCUCUCAUGAAAAGAAAACCGUUUGGGUUCAUCAAAGAAGACUGGGUUUGAUGUCUACUUCUCCAUGGCUAGGGGGAAUGCCACUUUGCUUGCUAUGGAAAUGACCAAGUGCUUCGACAUCAGCUAGUAAGCCAUUGUUAUUAAGGUGUCUCUUGCUUGAUUUUAUACAUUAAGGAUCUGUUAUCAUAUUCAAUUUGUAAGAUGCUCCAAGUGUACAAGUACGAGCUUGAGCAAAACCCAACAUAAUUUCAAUUCUUGAUCCCAUGAAAGGCAAAUGUUGAUGCAGCAGUAGUUAAAAUAGUCAUGGCUGGGGCUGGAUGUGAAAAUGGUAGUAAAGUGGAACAAGUGAGAAAUGGCCUUCAUAUUGUUACAUUUAACAUUGUUGCGUUGUGGAAUAAAACUAUAAUUUCUCACAUGUUCUUUCAUUUUGUGUUUUCCCUUGUUGAACUCACAACCUUUCUCCAUCCUCAGAUAGCAUAUGCAGUAGUUGUUGCAUGGAUUUUGAAUGCUACUCUAGUAGUACCUCAGAUAACAUAUGCGCAUCUAAACCUCACUCUAUCUAGCUUCGUCCACUUUUUACAAGUUUGUAAUCAUCUCUUACCAUAAGAUUGAUAUUUGGAGCAUAUGUAUCUAUGGAAUAACCUGGAACAGUGGCUAAUGGCUAAGAUUUGUUUUGUAGGUUAGAAUUGAAUGGCAACCAUUCUUUUCUCUAUUAGAAGCUCCAUACUUCUAUUGGUAGGGCCCAUGGUAAUGUUUAUAACUGGUCUUUUUGUUAGUGCGCAAGUAAUCACAAAGUGUGAAGGUAAGCAGGAACUGAUUUGAGCAUGGGAAUGGAGAAGCUUUAGGUUCAAAAUGUUAGCAAGUAUGAAUAGCUAGGAGGCAGGAGCAGGAGCACAAAACAAAAACACAAUUCAAAGUGACUGUGGUACCUGGGUAGAAAAUUUUGCAGUGAUCUUCAUUUUGUGGGUAAGAUUGUCUUGUGAUCUUCAUUUUGUGGCCUAUGAAAUAUAUGUUGAACCUAGUAGAUCUUCAACAACAUAGGGAAGACAAAAACCUUUAAACUAAUGGAGUUUCAAUGGUCCCAUAGUCUCUCUAAAUCAACAGUCUUAUAUGUAGAGAUAAAGACAAUCAGUUAGUUUUAAAAUUAUGAUUUAAAUAUGUUGAUACUACAAUCAAGAAUUAAAUGAGUUUGUGACAAAGAAUUUAAGCAUGGAUGGCAUUGACUUGAAUAUAUUGGAUUUAUUUUUUGUG